GUGCCAGCAGCCGCGGUAAUGCGUAGGGUCCAAGCGUUAAUCGGAAUUACUGGGCGUAAAGCGUGCGCAGGCGGUUGUGCAAGACCGAUGUGAAAUCCCCGGGCUUAACCUGGGAAUCGCAUUGGUGACUGCACGGCUAGAGUGUGUCAGAGGGGGGUAGAAUUCCACGUGUAGCAGUGAAAUGCGUAGAGAUGUGGAGGAAUACCGAUGGCGAAGGCAGCCCCCUGGGAUAACACUGACGCUCAUGCACGAAAGCGUGGGGGGCAAACAGGAUUAGAUACCCUGGUAGUCCACGCCCUAAACGAUGUCAACUAGUUGUUGGGGAUUCAUUUCCUUAGUAACGUAGCUAACGCGUGAAGUUGGCCGCCUGGGGAGUACGGUCGCAAGAUUAAAACUCAAAGAAUAGUGCGUGAGACUAGCGACGAGACACAGGAGGUAG
Molecule: ribosomal RNA, 439 nt
Filed under: uncultured bacterium
Lineage: Bacteria
Description: bacterial SSU rRNA
Rfam family: Bacterial small subunit ribosomal RNA
Source: RNAcentral